AAAGAUCCACCUCAUUUCAGACUCUCCCAGUAAGCGUCCAUCUUCAUCACUCUCUUUUAGAACCCUAAUUCCCAAACAACAAAUUACGCGCAUAAUUAUGCUCUAUCCGAUCAAAUCUACUAAUUUUUGGCGGAACUGCGAGAUUUUUCUUCGGGGAAGGCAUCGAUAGCGCACACAGUAAUCCUCCCUCGGGCCAAACCAUUGGAUUGCGUACAAGGCUUUAUACCAUGAAGCAGCAUGAAGAGAGAGAAGUAUGCACUACUUCAUUUCGGAACCCUGAUCCAAAGAGUGUUCUUUAAAAGAUUCGUUUCUGCAUAUUCUCCAUUGUCCCGGUGAAAGUACGCACAAGGGAAAUUGUUGAAUGGGAUUUCAGGCAAAGAGACUUUUAACUCUCAGGACUGUGACCCUCUGCAUACUGAUGGCAAGGUUAGUCGCUUAUUAGAAAGGCAAAAAAAUAUGGGUAUUUACUUUUACGAUGUACAAAUGAAGACAUGAUUGUUGCAGUAAAAGGUGCUCUCUGGAAAUUUCGUUUCGUUUUUCUUGAUCUUGUGUUCUUGGUCCUAGAAAGAGAGAUGAUCACCAUUACCUAAUUCUUGAAGUUUAUAUUUAAAUUUAGGUGUGGUAAUAUGGAUCCAUACUGAUCCGGUCCGACCCGCAUUGGGUCGAACAAAAAAUCGAGCUAACAGUUUGUGUGUUGAACCAUUAAGGUGUUUGGGAUAAUAUUAAUUUUGGCUGCGAAGUUGGGGUAUUACCCGAACGAGGUUAUACGUUGUGUGUUAUUAUUUUACUGUAUGUUGUCAUUGGGUACGUACUAUGUUUUUUAAUCGUCAAGCGAAAUUCACAUUUUUUUUCA
This is a long non-coding RNA of Erythranthe guttata (spotted monkey flower), 853 nucleotides long. RefSeq lists it as uncharacterized. Lineage: Eukaryota; Viridiplantae; Streptophyta; Magnoliopsida; Lamiales; Phrymaceae. The record is from RefSeq and is a predicted model, not a curated record.